AUAGUAACAAACCUAAACCUAAUUCUCCUUUCUCUCAUUCCGCCGCCUGUAACCCUAGUUCCCAUUUCUCUCAUCCCGCCGCCUACUACCACUCAUUCCCUCAGGAGUGCCAUCAUUUUCACUCUCAAAAGAGAACAAAGCUUUCAGCGAUUUGUAAUCGGACAAAACUUGAUGGAGUGAAGGAAGAGUUACAGUCACAUAUCAACACGGUUGAUGGUGCUUCAGAUUGAUGCAUGAAGUGAAUCACAUUAUUUUGAAGAAAUUAAUAUUUUAUUUAUAAAUUUAAAUUGAUAUGUUGUUCUUUGUUGUUGAUGUAUGGUGUCAUGGUCAUGUUUCAUUUUACAAAGCUCAUUAGUAAGGUUAAAAUGGAACAAAAUAAAUUUGAAAGAUAAAAAUCAUUUUUAAAGUGA
This is a long non-coding RNA of Cicer arietinum (chickpea), 410 nucleotides long. RefSeq lists it as uncharacterized. The record is from RefSeq and is a predicted model, not a curated record. NCBI's taxonomy places the organism in Eukaryota, Viridiplantae, Streptophyta, Magnoliopsida, Fabales, Fabaceae.